AACGAACGUUGGCGGCAUGGAUUAGGCAUGCAAGUCGCACGAAUCCCAUCUGGGUAACUGGGUGGGGAAAGUGGCGAAAGGGCAGUAAGGCGUGGGUAACUUGCCCCGGAGUUCGGAAUAGCCUUCCUAACGGAUGGGUAAUACCGAAUGCCGUAUCGAGGGGCAUCCUCUUGAUACGAAAGUUACGGCGCUCCGGGAGGGGCCCACGUAGUAUUAGCUAGUUGGUGAGGUAACGGCUCACCAAGGCCAAGAUGCUUAGCAGGUGUGAGGGCACGACCUGCGCCACUGGCACUGGGACACUGGCCAGACUCCUACGGGAGGCUGCAGUCGAGGAUCUUCGGCAAUGGCGGCAAGCCUGACCGAGCGAUGCCGCGUGUGCGAUGAAGGACC
Molecule: ribosomal RNA, 390 nt
Filed under: uncultured bacterium
Lineage: Bacteria
Description: bacterial SSU rRNA
Rfam family: Bacterial small subunit ribosomal RNA
Source: RNAcentral